CAAAUGCUAGUCAUUAAAGGAGUGGGAACCUCCACAGCGGGUUAAAGAUGUGCAAUGACUGUUGGGGUUUGUGAACUACUACCACACAUUUAUUCCCCUCUUUGCUG
Molecule: non-coding RNA, 107 nt
Organism: Notechis scutatus (mainland tiger snake)
Lineage: Eukaryota; Metazoa; Chordata; Lepidosauria; Squamata; Elapidae
Source: RefSeq, a predicted model, not a curated record